Molecule: ribosomal RNA, 253 nt
Filed under: uncultured bacterium
Lineage: Bacteria
Description: partial 16S ribosomal RNA
Rfam family: Bacterial small subunit ribosomal RNA
Source: RNAcentral
UACGAAGGGGGCUAGCGUUGCUCGGAAUCACUGGGCGUAAAGCGCACGUAGGCGGCUUCUUAAGUCAGGGGUGAAAUCCUGGAGCUCAACUCCAGAACUGCCUCUGAUACUGAGGAGCUCGAGUCCGGGAGAGGUGAGUGGAACUCCGAGUGUAGAGGUGAAAUUCGUAGAUAUUCGGUAGAACACCAGUGGCGAAGGCGGCUCACUGGCCCGGUACUGACGCUGAGGUGCGAAAGCGUGGGGAGCAAACAGG